UACGGAGGGUGCAAGCGUUAUCCGGAUUCACUGGGUUUAAAGGGUGCGUAGGCGGGCAGGUAAGUCAGUGGUGAAAUCUCCGGGCUUAACCCGGAAACUGCCGUUGAUACUAUCUGUCUUGAAUAUUGUGGAGGUAAGCGGAAUAUGUCAUGUAGCGGUGAAAUGCUUAGAUAUGACAUAGAACACCAAUUGCGAAGGCAGGUGACUAAGCCGUAACUGACGCUGAUGCACGAAAGCGUGGGGAUCAAACAGG
This 253-nucleotide ribosomal RNA is filed under the name uncultured bacterium. RNAcentral's name for it is "partial 16S ribosomal RNA". It matches the Rfam family "Bacterial small subunit ribosomal RNA", at positions 524 to 776 of the family's 1533-position model. The record is from RNAcentral.